Molecule: long non-coding RNA, 2825 nt
Organism: Solanum pennellii
Lineage: Eukaryota; Viridiplantae; Streptophyta; Magnoliopsida; Solanales; Solanaceae
Exons: 4
Source: RefSeq, a predicted model, not a curated record
UUAUUUUGUCAAUUUAAGGAGUCGUAACUGCCGCAAUCGUCAAAAUUAAAAUUCCCUAAAAUAACAUACUAACUUCUUCUAUAUGUCAUUUGCCUCGGUUUUUUAGUUAUUUCCCUCAAUUUUUUCCCCAAAUAUCUUCCUCAUUCUUUCCCUUCUCUAACAAAGCAGCACUGCCGGUCCGACGUUGUGGUUUCAAUUUCACGGUAAGAUCCGGCGGUGUUGAAAAAUGUGGCGCUAUUAUUGGUGGCGGAACUCAUUGUAAAAGACUUGUUUUCAUGUCAAAAAACUUCAAUAGUUUGCUUAAUUGUUGAAGUGGAGAUGGAGAAGAGGCCGGAAUUGGAUGAUUUUGAUUUCUCUGAGUUACAAUUUUCUGGUUUAAGGUAGGAUUAUAUUUCUCACAGGUUAUAGUCUCUCUCGUUUUUUGAUUUGCUUUUCAAAUUGUAAAUAAACAUUCAUCUUGCAUGUUGAUUCAAAAAUUGUGUUACGUAGCUAGAUUUGUAUUUUUACCUUACCGGUACUACUGAAAUUAAGAUUCGUUCAUCCUUCCACCACCGCAGCUUUUCUUUCCUCCUUCAGGGAAACAUUUGAGCCCUUCGUUUAUCAAAGAUUUGAAGUUUAUCUUUUAAGUGUACUUUGUGUUGGCCAUUAAUAUGUAUUACUGUCAAUUACCGUUGAUGACAUUAUUUUUCAAAUAAUAUAUCUAUCUAUGGUUAUAAAUGUUGUGUUUGCAAUUGAUAGGUUUCAUUGUGAAGUAUAACAUGUAUGGAAAAAAAUAAAGAAUAAAGCCCUAAAGUUUUAUAAUCAUAGGGUUCUUAUUGUCUUGCUUCCAAAUGAUUAUUAAGUUAAUGUAUCAUUUAUAAUUGUUUUGAUUUAGUAAUUUAGAGAUUUUGUUUGCUUCCAAGUGAUUAUUUUGAUAAUGUAUUAUCUCAACUCUUGUCAAAACUAUACCGGUCAAGAAAAGUGGUGAGACAUUUGAUUGUUAAAAAUGUACGACCUCCUUGUAUUUUUGCGUGUGCAAAGAAAAAUCCGAGUAGAAAACAUCAACGGAUCUCGCUGGGAAUAGACGUUGAUAAAAGCAACCUGAGACCCCAGAAGCAGAAUACGAUCGGUGGCUAUUGGAAUCAAAGAAUUUCUCCAUGCCAUUAUUAGCCAAAAGUGGCAACAGCUAAAACAGUGUGUUGUUGACAGGUUGAUUCGUAUUGCUUCCUCAUGUGUUCGACAAUAACGUCGAUUAUGUAAAUGUUGCUGUCAUUUGUGUAUUAAAUAGCAUAUAAAGGUGAGCACAUUGUUCAAUUUUCUUUUCCUUUUUAUGUUCAUGUAAAUUCUUACGCCUCCUACCUAUUCAAAAGUGUUUAACUAGUGCUCUACUUUCUUGCAGAAAGGUAGGUUACAAGAAACGCUGCAUUUAGGACUAUUUUUUGGUUUGUGUAAGUCACUAAAGUAUGCAAAACAUGUCAUGUUAUGAGAACAUUAACUGUUUAGUUGUUAUCAUGUUAAUUACAUCUCGUUUCAAUCCCAAACAAGAUAUAAUAGGCUAUGUGAAUCCUCAUUUCUUCAUUUAAGUUCAUAUUAACAAAGUUUUAUUACUCCCAAUUUUUACAUUCUCUGUAGUUGUUCUAUGCGGAGAAGUGAUAGAUAAGUACAUAAUCAAGUAAGUGACAUGCUUUAACCAAUAAUUACAAUGCAGGGAUAAAUUUUAUGUGUUACCAGAGGAGUUUUAUUUUGUGGUUUGGUGAAGUUCAUAGAUUCUACAACCUGCUAGAUUUCUGAGCUAAUAUGAAAUUUGUAUUGGAGGCCAAGAUUAAUAUAGUUAGCCUCCAUUCUGCUGCUAAAAUUUUGAAUUCCUCUGUGACUGUGACAUUUUAGUAUCAGCAGCCUUUCAGAAGCUACUUUCAAAUACUUUCAAGUUGUUUUCUUUCGCUUGUUGUUAUUGUUUUCUUUUCUUUUUUCGUCUCGUGCAGAUAAUGCAGGCUAUAUUACGUAAAGAUGCCAAUCCAGAGCUUGCCUGUGCUAUUGAUACAUGGAGUCUAGGUUGUACUGUAAUUGAAAUGUUUACUGGACAGUCCUCUUGGAGUGGAUUAGACGGGGUGAAAGCAAAUCACCACCUGUACUAGAAACGUCAUCUCCGGAAGGAAAGAAUUUUCUUCGGUGCUACUUUCAGAGGAAACCUGCAGAUAGGCCUACAUUUUUUAUGCUACUUGAGCAUCCUUUCUUAAGUAAUACUAAUUCGCGUAAACAUAGUGCUACUGUUUUAGGUUCCUCAGAAGAUUUUUUACGGAUGAAAUGAGAACUGUGGUUUUUAACAUAUCGAACAAGAAUGUACUUUUAAGUAUUUUUUAAAGUGUAGCCUUCCCUACUCAACUGACUCUAUGGUGCAGGUAAACAUUGCAAUGUCCAUAGAGUUAUAGUGGAGUGACAGUCGGAGCAUGUGGUCUUAUUAGUUUAGAGUCAACAGAGCUUACUUAGGGAUCCCUAAGUUCCUACUGAUUUCUGUGGAUGAUAUAGGGGAAGAGGAAGGUUGACUGCUUUGAGAUCCCAGUCGAUUUGAUUGGAGAACCUCUUGAAAAGUUAUUACGUGCAACAUAGAGAUUCACUAAACCAUUGAUUGGUAUUAGAUAAUUAGUUUUGAUAAUGUAGUUGCAUGAUUGGAUUGGGUCAUAAUGAUUAGAGUGAAUGAUGUGUUUAGCGAUUGACCGGAGUAGUAAGGAAAAAAUCAAUGUACUCAUGGUGGAGUUAAGUACAUUUGUAUGGCAUAACUAAGCUUUUCCAACCAAAUGAUAUGCAAACAUUUUUUCUUACACUGUAAAGGUUCUCCAUUUAUCUUU